GAUUAACGCUAGCGGCAGGCCUAAUACAUGCAAGUCGAACGGCAGCGGGUGUAGCAAUACAUGCCGGCGAGUGGCGCACGGGUGCGUAACGCGUAUGCAAUCUACCUAUAACUGGGGAAUAGCUCUCGGAAACGGGAAUUAAUACCGCAUAACAUCACGAAACGGCAUCGUUUUGUGAUCAAAACUCAGGUGGUUAUAGAUGAGCAUGCGUGACAUUAGCUAGUUGGUGAGGUAACGGCUCACCAAGGCGACGAUGUCUAGGGGGUCUGAGAGGAUGAUCCCCCACACUGGUACUGAGACACGGACCAGACUCCUACGGGAGGCAGCAGUAAGGAAUAUUGGACAAUGGCCGCAAGGCUGAUCCAGCCAUGCCGCGUGCAGGAUGAAGGUGCUCUGCAUUGUAAACUGCUUUUGUUCCGGAAUAAACCCCCUCACGUGUGAGG
RNAcentral lists this ribosomal RNA (443 nucleotides) under uncultured Bacteroidota bacterium. RNAcentral's name for it is "bacterial SSU rRNA". It matches the Rfam family "Bacterial small subunit ribosomal RNA", at positions 28 to 466 of the family's 1533-position model. Lineage: Bacteria; Pseudomonadati; Bacteroidota. The record is from RNAcentral.